RNAcentral lists this non-coding RNA (25 nucleotides) under Cricetulus griseus (Chinese hamster). Lineage: Eukaryota; Metazoa; Chordata; Mammalia; Rodentia; Cricetidae. The record is from RNAcentral. RNAcentral also lists the same sequence under 1 other name.
AUUAAGUGGAUUUUUGGAACUAGGA